Molecule: ribosomal RNA, 504 nt
Filed under: uncultured bacterium
Lineage: Bacteria
Description: partial 16S ribosomal RNA
Rfam family: Bacterial small subunit ribosomal RNA
Source: RNAcentral
ACGAACGCUGGCGGCGUGCCUCAUCCCUGCAAGUAGAACGCACAGUUUAUACCGUAGCUUGCUACACCAUAGACUGUGAGUUGCGAACGGGUGAGUAACGCGUAGGUAACCUGCCUGGUAGCGGGGGAUAACUAUUGGAAACGAUAGCUAAUACCGCAUAAUAUUAAUUAUUGCAUGAUAAUUAAUUGAAAGGUGCAAUUGCACCACUACCAGAUGGACCUGCGUUGUAUUAGCUAGUAGGUGAGGUAACGGCUCACCUAGGCGACGAUACAUAGCCGACCUGAGAGGGUGAUCGGCCACACUGGGACUGAGACACGGCCCAGACUCCUACGGGAGGCAGCAGUAGGGAAUCUUCGGCAAUGGACGAAAGUCUGACCGAGCAACGCCGCGUGAGUGAAGAAGGUUUUCGGAUCGUAAAGCUCUGUUGUAAGAGAAGAACGGGUGUGAGAGUGGAAAGUUCACACUGUGACGGUAUCUUACCAGAAAGGGACGGCUAACUACGUG